RNAcentral lists this ribosomal RNA (216 nucleotides) under Campeiostachys nutans. Its description in RNAcentral is "Elymus nutans partial small subunit ribosomal RNA". The stretch from base 44 to 216 matches the Rfam family "Eukaryotic small subunit ribosomal RNA", at positions 690 to 864 of the family's 1831-position model. The record is from RNAcentral. Lineage: Eukaryota; Viridiplantae; Streptophyta; Magnoliopsida; Poales; Poaceae.
GGGUUAGUAGGUUGGUCAUGCCUCUGGUAUGCACUGGUCUCACUGAUUCCUCCUUCCUGAUGAGCCGUAAUGCCAUUAAUUUGGUGUUGCGGGGAAUUUGGACUGUUACUUUGAGAAAAUUAGAGUGUUCAAAGCAAGCUAACGCUUGAAUACAUUAGCAUGGAAUAAUGAAAUAGGACGUUCGAUCCUAUUUUGUUGGUUUCUAGGACAACCGUA